Molecule: ribosomal RNA, 1553 nt
Filed under: Salmonella enterica subsp. enterica serovar Typhimurium
Lineage: Bacteria; Pseudomonadati; Pseudomonadota; Gammaproteobacteria; Enterobacterales; Enterobacteriaceae
Description: partial 23S ribosomal RNA
Rfam family: Bacterial large subunit ribosomal RNA
Source: RNAcentral
ACACGUGGUAUCCUGUCUGAAUAUGGGGGGACCAUCCUCCAAGGCUAAAUACUCCUGACUGACCGAUAGUGAACCAGUACCGUGAGGGAAAGGCGAAAAGAACCCCGGCGAGGGGAGUGAAAAAGAACCUGAAACCGUGUACGUACAAGCAGUGGGAGCACCCUUCGGGGUGUGACUGCGUACCUUUUGUAUAAUGGGUCAGCGACUUAUAUUCUGUAGCAAGGUUAACCGUAUAGGGGAGCCGGAGGGAAACCGAGUCUUAACCGGGCGUUAAGUUGCAGGGUAUAGACCCGAAACCCGGUGAUCUAGCCAUGGGCAGGUUGAAGGUUGGGUAACACUAACUGGAGGACCGAACCGACUAAUGUUGAAAAAUUAGCGGAUGACCUGUGGCUGGGGGUGAAAGGCCAAUCAAACCGGGAGAUAGCUGGUUCUCCCCGAAAGCUAUUUAGGUAGCGCCUCGUGAAUUCAUCUCCGGGGGUAGAGCACUGUUUCGGCUAGGGGGCCAUCCCGGCUUACCAACCCGAUGCAAACUGCGAAUACCGGAGAAUGUUAUCACGGGAGACACACGGCGGGUGCUAACGUCCGUCGUGAAGAGGGAAACAACCCAGACCGCCAGCUAAGGUCCCAAAGUCAUGGUUAAGUGGGAAACGAUGUGGGAAGGCCCAGACAGCCAGGAUGUUGGCUUAGAAGCAGCCAUCAUUUAAAGAAAGCGUAAUAGCUCACUGGUCGAGUCGGCCUGCGCGGAAGAUGUAACGGGGCUAAACCAUGCACCGAAGCUGCGGCAGCGAACGUAUCACCCAAGACAACUUUACGGAGUUGACGAUUGACGGAGCGAAGCGACGUCAAAGCGUUCAUUAAAGUCGAGUUGGCUUAGGGAUACGUUCGUUGGGUAGGGGAGCGUUCUGUAAGCCUGUGAAGGUGUGUCGUGAGGCAUGCUGGAGGUAUCAGAAGUGCGAAUGCUGACAUAAGUAACGAUAAAGCGGGUGAAAAGCCCGCUCGCCGGAAGACCAAGGGUUCCUGUCCAACGUUAAUCGGGGCAGGGUGAGUCGACCCCUAAGGCGAGGCCGAAAGGCGUAGUCGAUGGGAAACGGGUUAAUAUUCCCGUACUUGGUGUUACUGCGAAGGGGGGACGGAGAAGGCUAUGUUGGCCGGGCGACGGUUGUCCCGGUUUAAGCGUGUAGGUGUGUGUUCCAGGUAAAUCCGGUUCACUUUAACACUGAGGCGUGACGACGAGGCACUACGGUGCUGAAGCAACAAAUGCCCUGCUUCCAGGAAAAGCCUCUAAGCAUCAGGUAACACGAAAUCGUACCCCAAACCGACACAGGUGGUCAGGUAGAGAAUACCAAGGCGCUUGAGAGAACUCGGGUGAAGGAACUAGGCAAAAUGGUGCCGUAACUUCGGGAGAAGGCACGCUGACACGUAGGUGAAGUGAUUUACUCAUGGAGCUGAAGUCAGUCGAAGAUACCAGCUGGCUGCAACUGUUUAUUAAAAACACAGCACUGUGCAAACACGAAAGUGGACGUAUACGGUGUGACGCCUGCCCGGUGCCGGAA